This 458-nucleotide ribosomal RNA is filed under the name uncultured bacterium. RNAcentral's name for it is "partial 16S ribosomal RNA". It matches the Rfam family "Bacterial small subunit ribosomal RNA", at positions 338 to 795 of the family's 1533-position model. The record is from RNAcentral.
CCUACGGGAGGCAGCAGUGAGGAAUAUUGGUCAAUGGGCGAAAGCCUGAACCAGCCAAGUCGCGUGCGGGAUUACUGCCCUAUGGGUUGUAAACCUCUUUUGUCGGGGAGCAACAUCCGGACGUGUCCGGCUGUGAGAGUACCCGAAGAAAAAGCAUCGGCUAACUCCUUUCCAGCAGCCGCGGUAAUACGGAGGAUUCGCGCGUUAUCCGGAUUUAUUGGGUUUAAAGGGGGCGCAGGCGGGUUUUUAAGUCAGCGGUCAAAUCGUGGGGCUCAACCCCAUCCAGCCGUGGACACUGGGGAUCUAGAGUGCGCGAGAGGUAGGCGGAAUGCGUGGUGUAGCGGUGAAAUGCAUAGAUAUGACGCAGAACCCCGAUUGCGAAGGCAGCAUACCGGUGCACAACUGACGCUCAGGCACGAAAGCGUGGGUAUCGAACAGGAUUAGAUACCCCUGUAGUC